Molecule: ribosomal RNA, 253 nt
Filed under: uncultured bacterium
Lineage: Bacteria
Description: partial 16S ribosomal RNA
Rfam family: Bacterial small subunit ribosomal RNA
Source: RNAcentral
UACGGGGGGGGCAAGCGUUGUUCGGAAUUACUGGGCGUAAAGGGCUCGUAGGCGGCCAACUAAGUCGGAUGUGAAAUCCCCAGGCUCAACCUGGGAACUGCAUCCGAUACUGGAUGGCUUGAAUUCGGGAGAGGGAUGCAGAAUUCCAGGUGUAGCGGUGAAAUGCGUAGAUAUCAGGAGGAACACCGAUGGCGAAGGCAGGUCUCUGGGCCACUACUGACGCUGAGAAGCGAAAGCAUGGGGAGCGAACAGG